UACGGAGGGGGUUAGCGUUGUUCGGAAUUACUGGGCGUAAAGCGCGCGUAGGCGGAUCGGAAAGUUGGGGGUGAAAUCCCGGGGCUCAACCCCGGAAUUGCCUUCAAAACUCCCGGUCUUGAGGUCGAGAGAGGUGAGUGGAAUUCCGAGUGUAGAGGUGAAAUUCGUAGAUAUUCGGAGGAACACCAGUGGCGAAGGCGGCUCACUGGCUCGAUACUGACGCUGAGGUGCGAAAGCGUGGGGAGCAAACAGG
This 253-nucleotide ribosomal RNA is filed under the name uncultured bacterium. Its description in RNAcentral is "partial 16S ribosomal RNA". It matches the Rfam family "Bacterial small subunit ribosomal RNA", at positions 524 to 776 of the family's 1533-position model. The record is from RNAcentral.